AAAUUGAAGAGUUUGAUCAUGGCUCAGAUUGAACGCUGGCGGCAGGCCUAACACAUGCAAGUCGAACGGUAACAGGAAGCAGCUUGCUGCUUUGCUGACGAGUGGCGGACGGGUGAGUAAUGUCUGGGAAACUGCCUGAUGGAGGGGGAUAACUACUGGAAACGGUGGCUAAUACCGCAUAACGUCGCAAGACCAAAGAGGGGGACCU
This 208-nucleotide ribosomal RNA is filed under the name Salmonella enterica. RNAcentral describes it as "partial 16S ribosomal RNA". It matches the Rfam family "Bacterial small subunit ribosomal RNA", at positions 1 to 215 of the family's 1533-position model. RNAcentral also lists the same sequence under 12 other names. Lineage: Bacteria; Pseudomonadati; Pseudomonadota; Gammaproteobacteria; Enterobacterales; Enterobacteriaceae. The record is from RNAcentral.